This 3171-nucleotide small RNA is filed under the name Hyperthermus butylicus DSM 5456. RNAcentral describes it as "SRSR cluster". Lineage: Archaea; Thermoproteati; Thermoproteota; Thermoprotei; Desulfurococcales; Pyrodictiaceae. The record is from RNAcentral.
GAACAACUCAAAAGAGAAUUGCAAGGCAAUCCAGCAGAUGGCCCAGCAAUUCCAGCAGCAGCGAACAACUCAAAAGAGAAUUGCAAGUACGCAUAAAGAAAGCACUAGCAGAACAUCUUGAAGCAUUUGCAGGAACAACUCAAAAGAGAAUUGCAAGGGUACAGCCUUGCGAAGUUUUCCUCGGUCGCCAGGGCCUUUUCGAGAACAACUCAAAAGAGAAUUGCAAGGCGAUGGGCAUCCCUGUGCAGAUUGGCGCCAAGCCAAUCAGCAUGAACAACUCAAAAGAGAAUUGCAAGCCCUUGGCUCCUCGGGAGGCGAGUGCUGCUUCCUGCACAGCUCGGAACAACUCAAAAGAGAAUUGCAAGAUGUAUUCAACGAGGCCAAACUCCUCAGCCUUCUUUACUUCUCUGAACAACUCAAAAGAGAAUUGCAAGCCUACCAUGGCGGCCUCCACCCCACCCCAAACAUUGUAGCUAUGAACAACUCAAAAGAGAAUUGCAGACCUCUCAAGCAUUGACACGCCAUGACCCGCAAGCGCCAUUGGAACAACUCAAAAGAGAAUUGCAAGUCCAUGAUGACACCCAGUUAUCGUUCACCAACACCACUAGGAACAACUCAAAAGAGAAUUGCAAGCGCUCACACGGUCGAGACCACGCUCUCCUCGAUCCACGACACAAGGAGGCGACUCGAACAACUCAAAAGAGAAUUGCAAGUCGUCGCUCACCUAUCUCUCCAUCACGAUACGCAAUCGCCACGUCUAUGAACAACUCAAAAGAGAAUUGCAAGGCAUAUGCAGUAUGGUAGGCCUUCCUUGUCCCAUUUCUCCAGCUCGAACAACUCAAAAGAGAAUUGCAAGUCCAAGAGCUCUACUUGCCGUCUCUUCAACUCUAGAUAUUCUGAACAACUCAAAAGAGAAUUGCAAGUCUCCGUGAGACGCUUCUCAAGCUCCUCAGGGUCAACGGUUUUCUGAACAACUCAAAAGAGAAUUGCAAGAACUCGCUGGCCAUCUCCAAUAGCUGCUUGAUCUUUUGGAGAACAACUCAAAAGAGAAUUGCAAGUCCCAACAGCGUAGCCGUACCUUCUCGCGUGGUCUAUGAAGUGAACAACUCAAAAGAGAAUUGCAAGUACAUCAUAUCCUACUUCUCUACUCUCACAGUACUCUUCACAUUUGAACAACUCAAAAGAGAAUUGCAAGUCUCCGCCUGCUCGGCGGCCUGCUCUAGCGCCGCUAUGGAACAACUCAAAAGAGAAUUGCAAGCUCAUUGCCAAGUCUUGCUUGCUGAACGUGAACUGCUUCGCGAACAACUCAAAAGAGAAUUGCAAGUCAAUGCUGCUGAUGUUGCCGAUGCUUGGCGUCGGCACAAGAACAACUCAAAAGAGAAUUGCAAGCCUUGUUUGCAGACUCGACGAACGUCGCGAACACAAUCGUGGAACAACUCAAAAGAGAAUUGCAAGGUGAGUACGCAGACACCAAGGCCGCCAAGGUUUCACCCCACGUGUGAACAACUCAAAAGAGAAUUGCAAGUUUCUGGAAUCAGGACUCUAAGUCUCCUUUCCCAAACAAAGAACAACUCAAAAGAGAAUUGCAAGUGGGAGCGCACGGGGGGUCUGCGCACACUUUACCAAUUCAAGAACAACUCAAAAGAGAAUUGCAAGACGAAGACGCUGUACGAGCUGCCGCCACCAGGCAACUACACACCAAGAACAACUCAAAAGAGAAUUGCAAGCGUCAUUGUACUCUUUUCGCUCAAUUAUUAUUAUGUCGUCGGGAACAACUCAAAAGAGAAUUGCAAGGUGUUAGUAGUUCUCUCAUGGUUUUCAGUGUGUUUACAGCGAACAACUCAAAAGAGAAUUGCAAGAUCCGAACUGUGCCAGUUCACAUUCCAUCAUUUUUAUAGAGGAACAACUCAAAAGAGAAUUGCAAGUCUGCUGGAUUGCGGGGACAUGCGGCGCGAGCUCCCUCAGCAUCUUGAACAACUCAAAAGAGAAUUGCAAGUCCGUUCGUCCUCAGAGCGAACAGCUUCCUUGCGUACGCGAACAACUCAAAAGAGAAUUGCAAGUGGACUGACUUCGAUUACAAGCAGCACUACGACAAUCUCGAGAACAACUCAAAAGAGAAUUGCAAGGUUCUAGCUGCUGACCCCGACAGCCUCGUCGCUGAGCUUAACCGUGAACAACUCAAAAGAGAAUUGCAAGCUGUAUGUUUGCCGCAACAUAUCGCUAUCACCUUGGGCGAACAACUCAAAAGAGAAUUGCAAGAGGCAUCAUCGGCGCGUCAAGGAUCACUCCAGCACAGCUCUCCGAGAACAACUCAAAAGAGAAUUGCAAGACACCUCCACGCGGUCCGGUGCAGCCUCCACUUCCCUUUACAAUGAACAACUCAAAAGAGAAUUGCAAGGGCCGCGUAGACCAUGUAGCCUACUGCUAGCGCUACGGCUGGGUACGAACAACUCAAAAGAGAAUUGCAAGGUUUUUACUCUGCCAGGUGUUAACCUCGAAUUCAACUCUCAUCUUGAACAACUCAAAAGAGAAUUGCAAGUUAUCGCAGCUUGUUUCCUCUUCUUCCGUUUCCUCCUCCGCUUGAACAACUCAAAAGAGAAUUGCAAGGCGGUCGCAACCCCAUGCGCGUCGUAGUGGGCUAUAAUGAGGUCCUGGACAGCGAACAACUCAAAAGAGAAUUGCAAGUUUAAAUCCGGUUUUCUUUCAAUUCCACUUCUGGGUUAAAAAAGAACAACUCAAAAGAGAAUUGCAAGUAUACUUGUUAUAUCUCACCCUGAUGUCUAGCAUUCUUCCACCUCGGAACAACUCAAAAGAGAAUUGCAAGCUGGGGACCUGUGUCUGGAAACCUCGCUAUUAUCGCCCCGCCAAGAACAACUCAAAAGAGAAUUGCAAGACACCAUUUGCAACAAUGAGGAUGGUGGUUACUAGCGAUAGGGAUGAACAACUCAAAAGAGAAUUGCAAGUUGAUUAUUGCCAUGACUGUGAAGGCUAGCUGGCCAACGGCAUGGAACAACUCAAAAGAGAAUUGCAAGCGCAGGCUCAGGCGUGGCACGGCAUAGAAAACACUUAUACUAGGAACAACUCAAAAGAGAAUUGCAAGUAGAACAAUAUAUACGGCUCCGUGCCGUCCUUUGGCACCCUCAGCUGAACAACUCAAAAGAGAAUUGCAAG